UGGGGAAUUUUGGACAAUGGGGGGAACCCUGAUCCAGCCAUGCCGCGUGUCUGAAGAAGGCCUUCGGGUUGUAAAGGACUUUUGUUCGGGAGCAAAGGCUGCGACCUAAUACGUUGCGGAUAUGAGAGUACCGAAAGAAUCAGCACCGGCUAACUACGUGCCAGCAGCCGCGGUAAUACGUAGGGUGCGAGCGUUAAUCAGAAUUACUGGGCGUAAAGCGUGCGCAGGCGGUUUAUUAAGUUUGAUGUGAAAUCCCCGGGCUUAACCUGGGAACUGCAUUGGAUACUGGUAGACUAGAGUGCGUCAGAGGGGGGUAGAAUUCCGCGUGUAGCAGUGAAAUGCGUAGAUAUGCGGAGGAAUACCGAUGGCGAAGGCAGCCCCCUGGGAUGACACUGACGCU
Molecule: ribosomal RNA, 400 nt
Filed under: uncultured bacterium
Lineage: Bacteria
Description: bacterial SSU rRNA
Rfam family: Bacterial small subunit ribosomal RNA
Source: RNAcentral